This 2611-nucleotide long non-coding RNA is filed under the name Homo sapiens (human). Its description in RNAcentral is "HSALNT0353136". The record is from RNAcentral. Lineage: Eukaryota; Metazoa; Chordata; Mammalia; Primates; Hominidae.
GGGGCCUGGCGCGUCCGCCGAGCGCGGGGGUUUGUUUAUUUUCGCGGUUGGUAGCGGCGCUGGCGCUGGUUAGAGGUUCGCCGGUGACGUGAGCGCCCGAGUUGGGGGAGAGGACCAGAACCACCUGCUGGAGAAGGGGAGCUACGGGGGCCGGGCAGGGUCCAAACGCCUCACGUAGGCGGCGGCGCCACGGUCUUCGGGGUCACAGGGAAGAGAAGGGCUCUCCUCAAGCGGGUGGAAGGAGGGAGGCCUCCCGAGGGAGUGAGACUCUAGGCCACUCCCCCGCAGCAAGGCAGGAUCACCUGCGACGCGGAGAGCGGUUAGAGGGCCCUGGAGUGGAAAAGGGCAGUGGGACCUGGUAGCUUGGGUUCCCUGCAACUUGGGGUUCGACCUCCAGGCAAUGAAGUAGGGAUGGUCCUGCAAGUCAAGAUUCCAGUAGCAAGAGUGCAUCAGAUCUCUGUCGUAGUGGACUAAUUUUACAGGCGAAGUUAAGUGACUUACCCAAAACCUCACAGCUAAUAAACGGCAGAGCCGGCACCCAGCUGUACUGGCUUCCAAUUCUGUUAGCUUACCAGCGCAUCACAUUAUCUCCAUAAAUCCCCAUGAUUCAACUAAUAUUAGACGCCCCACAGAGUCUCGCUACUCAAAACGUGGUCAGUGGCCCAGCAGCACUGACAUGAGGAUGUUAGUUAGAAACUCAGAAUCUCAGGCUCCACCCCAGACCUGCUGAACCAGCAUCUUCAACUUAACAAGAACCCGAAGAGAUUUGUGUCACAUCAAAAAGUUUGAGAAGCUCUGAUCUAGGGCUGGAAGGAGUGUUGCUCAACAAUAUCCAAAACCACAGAGGUUGAAAAGCACAAGGAAAGAAGGUAUGUUUGCACUUUGUGAUUAGGUAGUAGGGUCUUUGAGACCACAUUGUUCUUAUUGAAAGCCUGGGAAGAAAGAUCCCCUUUCUGGUCAAGUUUAGUCUAGGGAUCCAUCCCAUCUUCCCCAGUUCCCACGUGUAUGGGACAUGUCGAGAUAAGUAGAUAGAUUGGACAGUGGGAGAAAGUAGUUCUCUUCCAGUUGCUUCUAUUUUCUCAGCAAAGUGAGGAGCAAGAUCAUUUUGGCAGACUGCUAAUUGUCCAUCACAAUUUAGUCUCCCUUUCUCCCUGAAAACACAGACUGCUUUUCUCAGCCUCUCUUUCAGUUGCAUAUGGUCAAGUAUUAAGUUAUAGAACGUGAGCAGAUGUUAUGUCUGCCACUGUCAGGCCAAGGCGUUUACUUUGAGAGUACUUGUGCCUCUUUCAUGCAUUUUCCUUUCUGCCAGCUGGACCCUGGACACGGUGACUCUGAUUCAAUUAUGCAGAUGACCACAAACCUCUGGGGUUGGCAGAGCCACAAGAAAGAAGGUGCCUGGAUGAAGGAGAGCUACCCACUGACCUGGACACCCAAUUAUAGGAUAGACAGUGAAGUGCAACUACAGCCCGCAAAUGAAAAUGAAUAAUAUUAAUCCAGCCCCUCAAGGCAGUCAUCUGUCUUAGAGCUAUUGGAAUCCUGGAUCAUUGUGGGAAAUGAAAGGAACUGGUUUUUAGCAAGGAGACCAAGAAACUCUACUCCCUAGGGGCUAGCAAUGAGAGAAAGGAAGCCUUAAGUCUUUGAGCACAGGGUGACAGUUUGGGUCCUAUGUGAGAUGAUCAAAUCCACAGCAACAGAGGAAAGGACAAAAGGAAAAGGUCUGUAGCAGCACUACAUCAGAAAAAAAUGGAUUCAGCAAGGAAGUGGGUGACUCUGAGUAAGCAUCCAUGUCAGGAUGGUUUUGCUACAGCCCCCAACAAAACAUUAAUUAGUUUAAGAAACUCAACUUCGGUUUACAAGUGUUUUGGAAAAGUAACAAAGAACAACAUAAGUAACAAAAUAAUUCCUCAGGUCAUUACAAUGGAUGUUUCCUAUAACUGAAAAAUAUGGUUAAAAAGUACAAACUACAUUUGGUGUGCAAACUGUUUAGUUCUUAAUUCCAAACUAAAUUGUACAUUAUAUAGUAAAAUUUUGACCAGAAAAACUUGGAGAUUUUAGUAAAAAUUUCAUUGACAUAUUUACAGCCCCAGUGUAGUUUGGCCGGUGUGCAAAGCCUGACUAAGGAGGUUAUAGAAAAAAAUAUCAGACUUAAGCCCAUCAAAUCAUUAAAGAUGCUUUGGCAAGACUUCAAGCUUUACAGACAUACUCCAUGUGACCAGAGAUGUCAUAACCAGUGUUCUUUCUCUUGAAAUGUUAGAAUGCUUUAGUUUUAUUCUAUAAUUUCCGUGUUCCAUGGAACAGCAUUCAUUUCUCCCAGUUUUAGUAACAUAAUGAGAGAUAUAUUGAGUGUAUAGAGCAGGAAAGACAUGAAAACUUAUAUUGCAUAAUAUUAGCAAACAUAAAAGAUAGCAUUAUAAAUUUUUAAAAAUCCAAAAAAAUUCCAGAAACAGAACAGUGAGCAUGUUUAAAAAGUCAGGACUGACCGUUUCUGUGAGUUCUGAGGACUGUAAAUGAGCCUCAAUCCAUAAAGCUGAGAGGUUGUCUUAGCCCACAUAUGCAGCAGGUGACUCCCUCUGACAAAAGCAAGAUUUAGCUGGAUCUUUUAAAAAAAAAA